CAACUUAACAACCUUUUUAAUUUUCAAUCAGCGUCUGAAUAAUUAUAAUAAUUACAACUUUCAACAACGGAUCUCUUGGUUCUGGCAUCGAUGAAGAACGCAGCGAAAUGCGAUAAGUAGUGUGAAUUGCAGAAUUCAGUGAAUCAUCGAAUCUUUGAACGCACAUUGCGCCCCUUGGUAUUCCAUGGGGCAUGCUUGUUCGAGCGUCAUUU
RNAcentral lists this ribosomal RNA (212 nucleotides) under fungal sp. GFI 146. Its description in RNAcentral is "5.8S ribosomal RNA". The stretch from base 56 to 209 matches the Rfam family "5.8S ribosomal RNA". Rfam says of the family: 5.8S ribosomal RNA (5.8S rRNA) is a component of the large subunit of the eukaryotic ribosome. It is transcribed by RNA polymerase I as part of the 45S precursor that also contains 18S and 28S rRNA. Lineage: Eukaryota; Fungi. The record is from RNAcentral.